GCUUGUCUCAAAGAUUAAGCCAUGCAUGUCUUAGUGUAAAUAACUCUUAUGAAACUGCGAAUGGCUCAUUAAAUCAGUUAUCAAAUACGUGAUGGUCGCCUACUACAUGGAUAACCGUAGUAAUUCUAGAGCUAAUACAUGCACAAAGGCCCAUUCACGUGGGUUGUGAUUAUUAGAUUCAAACCGGCCUCGUUCUGGUGAUUCAUAAUAACUGUUCGAAGCGCACGGCCUCGCGCCGGCGCUAGUUCAUUCAAAUUUCUGCCCUAUCAGCUUUCGACGGUAGUGUAGUGGACUACCGUGGCGCUAACGGGUGACGGAGAAUUAGGGUUCGGUUCCGGAGAGGGAGCCUGAGAAACGGCUACCACAUCCAAGGAAGGCAGCAGG
Molecule: ribosomal RNA, 384 nt
Filed under: uncultured Cryptomonas
Lineage: Eukaryota; Cryptophyceae; Cryptomonadales; Cryptomonadaceae
Description: partial small subunit ribosomal RNA
Rfam family: Eukaryotic small subunit ribosomal RNA
Source: RNAcentral